AUGCUUGCUCAAGGUAUCAUCGCGCCCAGCUCCAACCCCUUUGCUUCACCAGUGCUGCUAGUUCAGAAGGACUUGUCGUGGCGCUUCUGCGUGGACUACCAACAACACAAUGUGGUGACAGUUAAGAACCGCUACCCUCUGCCUGUCAUUGAUGAGCUACUGGACGAGCUGGCUGGUUCCACGCUGUUCACCAGUCUGGAUCUCCGGGUCGGAUACCAUCAGAUUCGUAUGAAGCCCGAAGAUGAACACAAGACUACUUUCAAGACCCACCAUGGCCACUUCGAGUUCAAGGUCUUGGCAUACGGCCUCAGGGGGGGCCGGCGACUUUCCAAGGAGGAAUGA
Molecule: ribosomal RNA, 342 nt
Filed under: Triticum aestivum (bread wheat)
Lineage: Eukaryota; Viridiplantae; Streptophyta; Magnoliopsida; Poales; Poaceae
Description: partial small subunit ribosomal RNA
Source: RNAcentral